GACGAACGCUGGCGGCGUGCUUAACACAUGCAAGUCGAACGGAAAGGCCCUGCUUUUGUGGGGUUCUCGAGUGGCGAACGGGUGAGUAACACGUGAGUAACCUGCCCUUGACUUUGGGAUAACUUCAGGAAACUGGGGCUAAUACCGGAUAGGAGCUCCUGCUGCAUGGUGGGGGUUGGAAAGUUUCGGCGGUUGGGGAUGGACUCGCGGCUUAUCAGCUUGUUGGUGGGGUAGUGGCUUACCAAGGCUUUGACGGGUAGCCGGCAUGAGAGGUUGAACGGCCACAUGGGGACUGAGAGACGGCCCAGACUCCUACGGUAGGCAGUAGUGGGGAAUAUUGCACAGUGGGCGGAAGCCUGAGGCGGCAACGCCGCGUGCGGGAUGACGGCCUUCGAGUUGUAAACCGCUUUCGCCUGUGACGAAGCGUGCGUGACGGUAAUGGGUAAAGAAGCACCGGCUAACUACGUG
RNAcentral lists this ribosomal RNA (468 nucleotides) under uncultured bacterium. RNAcentral's name for it is "partial 16S ribosomal RNA". It matches the Rfam family "Bacterial small subunit ribosomal RNA", at positions 28 to 507 of the family's 1533-position model. The record is from RNAcentral.